RNAcentral lists this ribosomal RNA (427 nucleotides) under uncultured bacterium. RNAcentral's name for it is "partial 16S ribosomal RNA". It matches the Rfam family "Bacterial small subunit ribosomal RNA", at positions 355 to 774 of the family's 1533-position model. The record is from RNAcentral.
UGGGGAAUAUUGCACAAUGGGCGCAAGCCUGAUGCAGCCAUGCCGCGUGUAUGAAGAAGGCCUUCGGGUUGUAAAGUACUUUCAGCGGGGAGGAAGGCGAUAAGGUUAAUAACCUUGUCGAUUGACGUUACCCGCAGAAGAAGCACCGGCUAACUCCGUGCCAGCAGCCGCGGUAAUACGGAGGGUGCAAGCGUUAAUCGGAAUUACUGGGCGUAAAGCGCACGCAGGCGGUCUGUCAAGUCGGAGGUGAAAUCCCCGGGCUCAACCUGGGAACUGCAUUCGAAACUGGCAGGCUAGAGUCUUGUAGAGGGGGGUAGAAUUCCAGGUGUAGCGGUGAAAUGCGUAGAGAUCUGGAGGAAUACCGGUGGCGAAGGCGGCCCCCUGGACAAAGACUGACGCUCAGGUGCGAAAGUGUGGGGAGCAAACA